RNAcentral lists this ribosomal RNA (350 nucleotides) under uncultured bacterium. Its description in RNAcentral is "bacterial SSU rRNA". It matches the Rfam family "Bacterial small subunit ribosomal RNA", at positions 8 to 350 of the family's 1533-position model. The record is from RNAcentral.
AGAGUUUGAUCAUGGCUCAGGAUGAACGCUAGCUACAGGCUUAACACAUGCAAGUCGAGGGGCAGCGGGAUUGAAGCUUGCUUCAAUUGCCGGCGACCGGCGCACGGGUGAGUAACGCGUAUCCAACCUUCCGUACACUCAGGGAUAGCCUUUCGAAAGAAAGAUUAAUACCUGAUGGUAUGAUGAAAUUGCAUGAUAGCAUCAUUAAAGAUUUAUCGGUGUACGAUGGGGAUGCGUUCCAUUAGGUAGUAGGCGGGGUAACGGCCCACCUAGCCUACGAUGGAUAGGGGUUCUGAGAGGAAGGUCCCCCACAUUGGAACUGAGACACGGUCCAAACUCCUACGGAGGCA